RNAcentral lists this ribosomal RNA (1065 nucleotides) under Salmonella enterica subsp. enterica serovar Enteritidis. RNAcentral's name for it is "partial 23S ribosomal RNA". It matches the Rfam family "Bacterial large subunit ribosomal RNA", at positions 566 to 1495 of the family's 2925-position model. The record is from RNAcentral. Lineage: Bacteria; Pseudomonadati; Pseudomonadota; Gammaproteobacteria; Enterobacterales; Enterobacteriaceae.
GUACAAGCAGUGGGAGCCCCACCACCAAAGCAUUUGCUGUACCGCGUUGACGGAGCGAAGCGACGUCAAACCGAUAAAACAGCAGUGUAAAGUGAGCCGCAGGGCGCUUUGCGCGACAGCGCAAAGGCAGGCGGUUUCGCGUAGCGAAAGCGAAUGCUUUGGGGUGGGGUGACUGCGUACCUUUUGUAUAAUGGGUCAGCGACUUAUAUUCUGUAGCAAGGUUAACCGAAUAGGGGAGCCGGAGGGAAACCGAGUCUUAAUUGGGCGUUAAGUUGCAGGGUAUAGACCCGAAACCCGGUGAUCUAGCCAUGGGCAGGUUGAAGGUUGGGUAACACUAACUGGAGGACCGAACCGACUAAUGUUGAAAAAUUAGCGGAUGACCUGUGGCUGGGGGUGAAAGGCCAAUCAAACCGGGAGAUAGCUGGUUCUCCCCGAAAGCUAUUUAGGUAGCGCCUCGUGAAUUCAUCUCCGGGGGUAGAGCACUGUUUCGGCUAGGGGGCCAUCCCGGCUUACCAACCCGAUGCAAACUGCGAAUACCGGAGAAUGUUAUCACGGGAGACACACGGCGGGUGCUAACGUCCGUCGUGAAGAGGGAAACAACCCAGACCGCCAGCUAAGGUCCCAAAGUCAUGGUUAAGUGGGAAACGAUGUGGGAAGGCCCAGACAGCCAGGAUGUUGGCUUAGAAGCAGCCAUCAUUUAAAGAAAGCGUAAUAGCUCACUGGUCGAGUCGGCCUGCGCGGAAGAUGUAACGGGGCUAAACCAUGCACCGAAGCUGCGGCAGCGACACUGUGUGUUGUUGGGUAGGGGAGCGUUCUGUAAGCCUGUGAAGGUGUGUCGUGAGGCAUGCUGGAGGUAUCAGAAGUGCGAAUGCUGACAUAAGUAACGAUAAAGCGGGUGAAAAGCCCGCUCGCCGGAAGACCAAGGGUUCCUGUCCAACGUUAAUCGGGGCAGGGUGAGUCGACCCCUAAGGCGAGGCCGAAAGGCGUAGUCGAUGGGAAACGGGUUAAUAUUCCCGUACUUGGUGUUACUGCGAAGGGGGGACGGAGAAGGCUAUGUUGGCCGGG